RNAcentral lists this long non-coding RNA (919 nucleotides) under Nicotiana benthamiana. Its description in RNAcentral is "long non-coding RNA (NBEN_LNC008941)". Lineage: Eukaryota; Viridiplantae; Streptophyta; Magnoliopsida; Solanales; Solanaceae. The record is from RNAcentral.
UCAAAACUUCCAAUUAGAAGGUGUAGGUAUUAGAACUGGCUUUUCCAGCGAAAAGUGAGGAAGUAUGUUAAGUAUAAAGGCAUUGCCUCAAAAGCCCUACUCCCAUAUAACACUUGCUAAAAUGACUUGUUCUUUUUUUUUUAUUUGCACCGUGUGUCUGAGUCUCUUCGAGCCCCGACUAAUCCCGGGGGUGCACAGGCCCUCGGCAAGGAGUUUCCCGCAAGUGCACCAUGGUUAAUUCAGGUUUUACCCGGUCCGAUCGCCCUUAGAAAUAAAAUGACUUGUUCUUCCUCAUAAACAUUAAAGAUAAUAAUAGAAUUUUAGGUUUUUAUUAGGGGUGGCAAUUUGACCCCAACCCCAUCUAACCCGUCCAGAGAUUAAUGGGUUGGGCUACAAAUAUUUUAGCCCAUGGGUCAAUUUGGGCUGAGCCCAAGUUAACUCAUUAUUUUUUAUAGCCCAUUCUGACCCAUUAAGCAGCCCAAAUUCAACCCAACCCGCCCAUUUGCCACCCCUAGUUUUUAUUGUGUACAUUCAAAAUAAAGAUGACAUGAAAGAGUGGUCAUCUUAAAGCUAUGCUCGCAUUGCAAAAGAAAACUACCAGCAAGAAGGAGAGGAUUGUACAUUCAAAAUAAAGAUGAUAUGAUAGAGUGGUCAUCUUAAAGCUAUGUUCACAUUGCAAAAUAAAACUAUCAGCAAGAAGGAGAAGAUUGUAGGCUGUAGCUCAGCUUAAUAUAACUUACUGAUAGUUGGAACAAGUGUUACCCAAUAUACAUCUAUAUAGUUCGCAGAACAGCAACGUCUUCAUGGUUUACUGCCUCAGCUAAAAUGUGAUUCAUUUAAGUGUAUGUUCUCCAGAACAGACAUCAGUAUACUUUAAGAACUCUUGAUUUAAAGGUUAGUAAAGUAUAGAUAAUGUUAG